UACGAGGGGGGCAAGCGUUGUUCGGAAUUAUUGGGCGUAAAGCGUGCGCAGGCGGUUUUGUAAGACUGUCGUGAAAUCCCCGGGCUUAACCUGGGAAUGGCGAUGGUGACUGCAAGGCUAGAGUUUGGCAGAGGGGGGUAGAAUUCCACGUGUAGCAGUGAAAUGCGUAGAUAUGUGGAGGAACACCGAUGGCGAAGGCAGCCCCCUGGGUCAAAACUGACGCUCAUGCACGAAAGCGUGGGGAGCAAACAGG
This 253-nucleotide ribosomal RNA is filed under the name uncultured bacterium. Its description in RNAcentral is "partial 16S ribosomal RNA". It matches the Rfam family "Bacterial small subunit ribosomal RNA", at positions 524 to 776 of the family's 1533-position model. The record is from RNAcentral.